Molecule: transfer RNA, 88 nt
Filed under: Bacteroides uniformis
Lineage: Bacteria; Pseudomonadati; Bacteroidota; Bacteroidia; Bacteroidales; Bacteroidaceae
Description: tRNA-Ser
Rfam family: tRNA
About the family: Transfer RNA (tRNA) molecules are approximately 80 nucleotides in length.
Source: RNAcentral
GGAGAGGUGCUCGAGUGGUUGAAGAGGCACGCCUGGAAAGCGUGUAUACCCCUAAAGGGUAUCGGGGGUUCGAAUCCCUCCCUCUCCG